AAGCCCGGUGAUGCUAAAAAUAAACUUUCGUUCUACUGAGCAGUCUAACAACUGUGCAGAAACAAUUUAUUGGAGACCUGAACUGAGGGCUU
This 92-nucleotide small nucleolar RNA is filed under the name Auxenochlorella protothecoides. RNAcentral describes it as "Small nucleolar RNA Z159/U59". It matches the Rfam family "Small nucleolar RNA Z159/U59". From Rfam's summary of the family: This family consists of several snoRNA Z159 or U59 sequences which are members of the C/D class of snoRNA which contain the C (UGAUGA) and D (CUGA) box motifs. Lineage: Eukaryota; Viridiplantae; Chlorophyta; Trebouxiophyceae; Chlorellales; Chlorellaceae. The record is from Rfam by way of RNAcentral.